GAGGGUAUAGCUCAGUGGCAGAGCACAUGCUUAGCAUGCACGAGGUCAUGGGUUCUAUCCCCAGUACCUCCA
RNAcentral lists this transfer RNA (72 nucleotides) under Camelus dromedarius (Arabian camel). It matches the Rfam family "tRNA". From Rfam's summary of the family: Transfer RNA (tRNA) molecules are approximately 80 nucleotides in length. Lineage: Eukaryota; Metazoa; Chordata; Mammalia; Artiodactyla; Camelidae. The record is from Rfam by way of RNAcentral. RNAcentral also lists the same sequence under 1 other name.